Molecule: ribosomal RNA, 515 nt
Filed under: uncultured bacterium
Lineage: Bacteria
Description: partial 16S ribosomal RNA
Rfam family: Bacterial small subunit ribosomal RNA
Source: RNAcentral
GAUGAACGCUGGCGGCGUGCCUAAUACAUGCAAGUCGAGCGAAUGGAUUAAGAGCUUGCUCUUAUGAAGUUAGCGGCGGACGGGUGAGUAACACGUGGGUAACCUGCCCAUAAGACUGGGAUAACUCCGGGAAACCGGGGCUAAUACCGGAUAACAUUUUGAACCGCAUGGUUCGAAAUUGAAAGGCGGCUUCGGCUGUCACUUAUGGAUGGACCCGCGUCGCAUUAGCUAGUUGGUGAGGUAACGGCUCACCAAGGCAACGAUGCGUAGCCGACCUGGGAGGGUGAUCGGCCACACUGGGACUGAGACACGGCCCAGACUCCUACGGGAGGCAGCAGUAGGGAAUCUUCCGCAAUGGACGAAAGUCUGACGGAGCAACGCCGCGUGAGUGAUGAAGGCUUUCGGGUCGUAAAACUCUGUUGUUAGGGAAGAACAAGUGCUAGUUGAGUAAGCUGGCACCUUGACGGUACCUAACCAGAAAGCCACGGCUAACUACGCGCCAGCAGCCGCCGCAG